UUGAAAGGAAGAUUAAUACAAGAUGCCAUCAUGAGUCCGCAUGUUCACAUGAUUAAAGGUAUUCCGGUAGACGAUGGGGAUGCGUUCCAUUAGAUAGUAGGCGGGGUAACGGCCCACCUAGUCUUCGAUGGAUAGGGGUUCUGAGAGGAAGGUCCCCCACAUUGGAACUGAGACACGGUCCAAACUCCUACGGGAGGCAGUAGUGAGGAAUAUUGGUCAAUGGGCGAGAGCCUGAACCAGCCAAGUAGCGUGAAGGAUGACUGCCCUAUGGGUUGUAAACUUCUUUUAUAAAGGAGUAAAGUCGGGUAUGCAUACCCGUUUGCAUGUACUUUAUGAAUAAGGAUCGGCUAACUCCGUGCCAGCAGCCGCGGUAAUACGGAGGAUCCGAGCGUUAUCCGGAUUUAUUGGGUUUAAAGGGAGCGUAGAUGGAUGUUUAAGUCAGUUGUGAAAGUUUGCGGCUCAACCGUAAAAUUGCAGUUGAUACUGGAUAUCUUGAGUGCAGUUGAGGCAGGCGGAAUUCGUGGUGUAGCGGUGAAAUGCUUAGAUAUCACGAAGAACUCCGAUUGCGAAGGCAGCCUGCUAAGCUGCAACUGACAUUGAGGCUCGAAAGUGUGGGUAUCAAACAGGAUUAGAUACCCUGGUAGUCCACACGGUAAACGAUGAAUACUCGCUGUUUGCGAUAUACAGCAAGCGGCCAAGCGAAAGCGUUAAGUAUUCCACCUGGGGAGUACGCCGGCAACGGUGAAACUCAAAGGAAUUGACGGGGGCCCGCACAAGCGGAGGAACAUGUGGUUUAAUUCGAUGAUACGCGAGGAACCUUACCCGGGCUUAAAUUGCAGAUGAAUUACGGUGAAAGCCGUAAGCCGCAAGGCAUCUGUGAAGGUGCUGCAUGGUUGUCGUCAGCUCGUGCCGUGAGGUGUCGGCUUAAGUGCCAUAACGAGCGCAACCCUUGUUGUCAGUUACUAACAGGUUCCGCUGAGGACUCUGACAAGACUGCCAUCGUAAGAUGUGAGGAAGGUGGGGAUGACGUCAAAUCAGCACGGCCCUUACGUCCGGGGCUACACACGUGUUACAAUGGGGGGUACAGAGGGCCGCUACCACGCGAGUGGAUGCCAAUCCCAAAAACCUCUCUCAGUUCGGAUCGAAGUCUGCAACCCGACUUCGUGAAGCUGGAUUCGCUAGUAAUCGCGCAUCAGCCACGGCGCGGUGAAUACGUUCCCGGGCCUUGUACUCACCGCCCGUA
Molecule: ribosomal RNA, 1243 nt
Filed under: uncultured bacterium
Lineage: Bacteria
Description: bacterial SSU rRNA
Rfam family: Bacterial small subunit ribosomal RNA
Source: RNAcentral